This 667-nucleotide ribosomal RNA is filed under the name Vibrio sp. RNAcentral's name for it is "bacterial SSU rRNA". It matches the Rfam family "Bacterial small subunit ribosomal RNA", at positions 100 to 763 of the family's 1533-position model. Lineage: Bacteria; Pseudomonadati; Pseudomonadota; Gammaproteobacteria; Vibrionales; Vibrionaceae. The record is from RNAcentral.
GGACGGGUGAGUAAUGCCUGGGAAAUUGCCCUGAUGUGGGGGAUAACCAUUGGAAACGAUGGCUAAUACCGCAUAAUAGCUUCGGCUCAAAGAGGGGGACCUUCGGGCCUCUCGCGUCAGGAUAUGCCCAGGUGGGAUUAGCUAGUUGGUGAGGUAAUGGCUCACCAAGGCGACGAUCCCUAGCUGGUCUGAGAGGAUGAUCAGCCACACUGGAACUGAGACACGGUCCAGACUCCUACGGGAGGCAGCAGUGGGGAAUAUUGCACAAUGGGCGCAAGCCUGAUGCAGCCAUGCCGCGUGUAUGAAGAAGGCCUUCGGGUUGUAAAGUACUUUCAGCAGUGAGGAAGGUGGUGUCGUUAAUAGCGGCAUCAUUUGACGUUAGCUGCAGAAGAAGCACCGGCUAACUCCGUGCCAGCAGCCGCGGUAAUACGGAGGGUGCGAGCGUUAAUCGGAAUUACUGGGCGUAAAGCGCAUGCAGGUGGUUUGUUAAGUCANAUGUGAAAGCCCGGGGCUCAACCUCGGAAUUGCAUUUGAAACUGGCAGACUAGAGUACUGUAGAGGGGGGUAGAAUUUCAGGUGUAGCGGUGAAAUGCGUAGAGAUCUGAAGGAAUACCGGUGGCGAAGGCGGCCCCCUGGACAGAUACUGACACUCANAUGCNAAAGCGUG